This 253-nucleotide ribosomal RNA is filed under the name uncultured bacterium. Its description in RNAcentral is "partial 16S ribosomal RNA". It matches the Rfam family "Bacterial small subunit ribosomal RNA", at positions 524 to 776 of the family's 1533-position model. The record is from RNAcentral.
UACGUAGGGUGCAAGCGUUACCCGGAUUUAUUGGGCGUAAAGAGUGCGUAGGCGGUUUUGAAAGUCAUUAUUGAAAUCUUGGGGCUCAACCCCAAGCCUGGUAGUGAUACUUCAAGACUAGAUUACUUGAGGGGGUACCGGAACAGUUAGUGGAGCAGUGAAAUGCGUUGAGAUUAACUGGAACACCAAAGGCGAAGGCAGGUACCUGGCAAGUUUAUGACGCUGUUGCACGAAAGCGUGGGGAGCAAAACGG